RNAcentral lists this ribosomal RNA (443 nucleotides) under uncultured bacterium. RNAcentral's name for it is "bacterial SSU rRNA". It matches the Rfam family "Bacterial small subunit ribosomal RNA", at positions 338 to 795 of the family's 1533-position model. The record is from RNAcentral.
CCUACGGGUGGCAGCAGUGGGGGAAUAUUGCGCAAUGGGGGGAAACCCUGACGCAGCGAUGCCGCGUGGGUGAAUAAGGCCUUCGGGUUGUAAAGCCCUUUCAGUGGGGAAGAUGAUGACGGUACCCACAGAAGAAGCCCCGGCUAACUCCGUGCCAGCAGCCGCGGUAAUACGGAGGGGGCGAGCGUUGUUCGGAAUUAUUGGGCGUAAAGGGCGCGUAGGCGGUUUAUUAAGUCAGGAGUGAAAGCCUCAGGCUCAACCUGGGGAACUGCUUUUGAAACUGGUAGACUAGAGUCCGGCAGAGGAUGGUGGAAUUCCCCGUGUAGAGGUGAAAUUCGUAGAUAUGGGGAGGAAGACCAGAGGCGAAGGCGACCAUCUGGACCGGUACUGACGCUAAGGCGCGAAAGCGUGGGGAGCAAACAGGAUUAGAUACCCCAGUAGUC